AUACGAAGGGGGCUAGCGUUGUUCGGAAUUACUGGGCGUAAAGCGCGCGUAGGCGGAUUGGUCAGUUAGGGGUGAAAUCCCAGGGCUUAACCCUGGAACUGCCUCUAAUACUGCCAGUCUUGAGUUCGGGAGAGGUGAGUGGAAUUCCUAGUGUAGAGGUGAAAUUCGUAGAUAUUAGGAAGAACACCAGUGGCGAAGGCGGCUCACUGGCCCGAUACUGACGCUGGGGCGCGAAAGCGUGGGGAGCAAACAGGAUUAGAAACCCUAGUAGUCC
This 274-nucleotide ribosomal RNA is filed under the name uncultured bacterium. Its description in RNAcentral is "partial 16S ribosomal RNA". It matches the Rfam family "Bacterial small subunit ribosomal RNA", at positions 523 to 796 of the family's 1533-position model. The record is from RNAcentral.